This is a long non-coding RNA of Pseudophryne corroboree (corroboree frog), 276 nucleotides long. RefSeq lists it as uncharacterized. The transcript has 2 exons. NCBI's taxonomy places the organism in Eukaryota, Metazoa, Chordata, Amphibia, Anura, Myobatrachidae. The record is from RefSeq and is a predicted model, not a curated record.
CUGUGGCAGAGGGCACUGCUAUGUAUCUCAUUCAGGGCAUACUGUUAAAGAAGAGCCAUCGUCUUCUGAUCUCUCUGGGAAGUCUGAGGCAGAUGGGAGAAGCCGUCUGAGGUUGAAAAUGCUUAAUGGCUAGAAAAGAACGGGAAGCCCCCACAUUACCGAACACGAGUCGCUGAUAACCGUUAUAUGAUGGAUCACAUGUCACAUUCUGAAAGCAUGAACAUUUAAAGUGUUUGGGUAUCAACUAAUAUAAUAAAUAAACAAUGAUGCCUGAAA